This 533-nucleotide ribosomal RNA is filed under the name uncultured bacterium. RNAcentral's name for it is "bacterial SSU rRNA". It matches the Rfam family "Bacterial small subunit ribosomal RNA", at positions 48 to 585 of the family's 1533-position model. The record is from RNAcentral.
AUAAGACAUGCAAGUCGAACGGGACUUUCAGUGUAGCAAUACAUUGAAAGUUCAGUGGCGUAAGGGUGCGUAACACGUGGGAAAUCUGCCGAGAAGUGGGGGAUAGCUCGCCGAAAGGCGAAUUAAUACCGCAUGUGGUCAGUGAGGACAUCCUCGCGAAACCAAAGCCGGGGCAACCUGGCGCUUCUUGAUGAUCCCGCGGCCUAUCAGCUAGUUGGCGGGGUAAAAGCCCACCAAGGCUAUGACGGGUAGCUGGUCUGAGAGGACGACCAGCCACACUGGAACUGAGACACGGUCCAGACACCUACGGGAGGCAGCAGUUAGGAAUAUUGGACAAUGGGGGAAACCCUGAUCCAGCCAUGCCGCGUGAGUGAAGAAGGCCUUAGGGUUGUAAAGCUCUUUCGGCUGUGGAGAUAAUGACAGUAGCAGAAGAAGAAGCCCCGGCUAAAUUCGUGCCAGCAGCCGCGGUAAUACGAAUGGGGCGAGCGUUGUGCGGAAUCACUGGGCGUAAAGGGUGCGCAGGCGGUCAUGAA